Molecule: long non-coding RNA, 380 nt
Filed under: Nicotiana benthamiana
Lineage: Eukaryota; Viridiplantae; Streptophyta; Magnoliopsida; Solanales; Solanaceae
Description: long non-coding RNA (NBEN_LNC030925)
Source: RNAcentral
UUGUAAAACUGGGCAGCAGUGAUGUAUACAGUUUUUGAAUGCUGAACUUAUUCAAUUUGCAAACACUUUGCAAUCGAACAGUGAUAUCACCCUGCAAUUGAGGACACUCCAAAAUGAAUUUCCUGCAAUCCAUUAUUUUCCUGAUGAUCCAAGAUGCUGUACUUGGAAUACUGGCAGAAGAUAAAGUGCUUCUCUUGAUGUAGUAAGCAUGAACCCAUCGCAUCCAUAACCAGUCUUUUUUCUUGCCAAAUCACACAAUAACUUUGAUAUGGCAGCCUUGUCCACAUAGUUAAAUCUAGCAUGUUAAGUCCACCAGCAGACACUGGACUGCAAACUUUGUCCCCAGCCACCAAAGCUCUUCUUGAAAUACUUGCCUUUCC